This 277-nucleotide ribosomal RNA is filed under the name Salmonella enterica subsp. enterica serovar Chester. RNAcentral's name for it is "partial 16S ribosomal RNA". It matches the Rfam family "Bacterial small subunit ribosomal RNA", at positions 1 to 274 of the family's 1533-position model. RNAcentral also lists the same sequence under 1 other name. Lineage: Bacteria; Pseudomonadati; Pseudomonadota; Gammaproteobacteria; Enterobacterales; Enterobacteriaceae. The record is from RNAcentral.
AAAUUGAAGAGUUUGAUCAUGGCUCAGAUUGAACGCUGGCGGCAGGCCUAACACAUGCAAGUCGAACGGUAACAGGAAGCAGCUUGCUGCUUUGCUGACGAGUGGCGGACGGGUGAGUAAUGUCUGGGAAACUGCCUGAUGGAGGGGGAUAACUACUGGAAACGGUGGCUAAUACCGCAUAAUGUCGCAAGACCAAAGAGGGGGACCUUCGGGCCUCUUGCCAUCAGAUGUGCCCAGAUGGGAUUAGCUUGUUGGUGAGGUAACGGCUCACCAAGGC